AGAAAUAUAUGACUAUUAUUGUCAAGAGGGCGCUGUUUAUUCUGAUGUAUGGGGUGACAUUGCAGUUUAGUAUGAAGAAUAGUUCUCAUAUUAUAUUUCUCUCUUUAUUAGGCUCUCAGGCUUUAUCAAUCUAUGACUUUCGAGCCAAUUCGUCACUACUUUUAAAAAAUUUCGUAUCUCACGCUGUUCCUCAAAGUUAAAACGCAGUAAGUCUAUAUGCAUUCCAUACAUACUUACUACAAUUUUCUUUUCAUUGAUAGACGAAGAUAUGAGUUUUUUUUUAAAGUAGUGACGAAUUAUUUAUGUCUCCUGAUUUUUAGGACACGUGUCUUCUGAUUUUAUUCAAAUUGGACCUGGCAACACUGAAAUAAUGUCAGAAUCUUUUCUUUGACAUUAUUUACAAUUUAUAUUAUUGUACAUAAUUGGUUUUUUCACUAUUCUUAAGCUAAAAAAAACACCUGUUUGUCCUCCAAAGAAUACCUUAUUGGAUUCACAGAAUGAUUGAGGAUUUGAGGGAAGCAUGUUAAGACUGUGACAAUAUGGUCUUAAGGCAGCCGGCCUCAUUGAGAA
This is a long non-coding RNA of Leguminivora glycinivorella, 570 nucleotides long. RefSeq lists it as uncharacterized. The record is from RefSeq and is a predicted model, not a curated record. Lineage: Eukaryota; Metazoa; Arthropoda; Insecta; Lepidoptera; Tortricidae. The transcript has 2 exons.